UGUUCACUAAAUAUCUCUUAUUCUCCUCGUCUUAGAAAUAAUGAAUUCCCAUAAAAAAUAAUAUUUUAGAGGCAAUAUGAUGUAGCUAAUGAAACAAUCGCCAUCAGCAUGUAGAUUAUAAAAUAGAUAAAUUUAUUACUAGUUCAGUAUCGAGAAAAAUAAAACAGAACUUAUCUUCUGUCAGAGGCCACACUACAUGUGUACUCAUAAGCUUCGGAUAUAACCAAAAAAAUCUGUCGCGCAAAUUUCCAUUCAGCUCCCACAAUGAACUUUUAAAAACUN
Molecule: long non-coding RNA, 282 nt
Filed under: Nicotiana benthamiana
Lineage: Eukaryota; Viridiplantae; Streptophyta; Magnoliopsida; Solanales; Solanaceae
Description: long non-coding RNA (NBEN_LNC031965)
Source: RNAcentral